GAGCCGCGCAAGCGGUCUUUGGGAAGAGCGGGAGAGGGCAACGCCGAGGGAAGUCCAACGGGAUUUCAGCACCCGACCAGAUGGAAGGUCAGUCGGCGACGCCGUGGAUGGCGUCCCAACAGCAGCAAACAUCGAGCUUGCAGGCAGGGCAGUCGACCGCGGAGGGGGCUUCACGGCACUCCUCCUGGGCGCAGCCGCAGUCUGCACAGCGCAUAACAAAUCUCGCUGCCAUGAUGGGGACGCCAUCGCUUCGUCUAAUACGACUUUCAUCUGAUUGGAAACGCAGGUUCGGUCAGGCAUCACCGCGGAUGGCAUGCGCAGAUUCAGGGAGGGCGCGCCUCAGAGGUGCGCGAGGAUAGGAUACACGGCGAGCAGCAUUAUCGCCAGCAUGGCGACGAUGAGGACCGCCGCGGCCAGGGCAAAGAACUUGCUCGUCCUGUCCAUGCGCGUCUCGCCAGCGCGGCACCCAAUAAACCCUGGGUAUGCGCAGGUCAAACAUCCCGGAUGCCACCGUUAAAGAGGUCCGGCCGUUCCGUUGUGACCCCGUAACGACUGAGCGCGCAGAAGUGUGCGUAAUGAGAUGGCCACGCGGCUAGCUCGAGCAUCGUCCCCUGGGAGACCGGGGGGCACACGAAUCGUUCCGACGGUUCGCGACACAAGUCUCGGGUGUGCCACACAAAACGCGGCCAUCAUACGCCGACCCCACGAGUGCUCGUGGGUGAAGACAUAGUCUAACUCCGGGCGUAAGCCUGGGUAUAGUUGCGAUGUCGGCUCUUCCCAUCCUGGUCCUGCAGCAGGGGCCAAGGGUGGGGCUGCUCGCCCAUCAAAGGGGAACGUGAGCUGGGUUUAGACCGUCGUGAGACAGGUCGGCCUCUACCUGAUGGAAGCGGUGGUUCACUGAGGGGAAGCCCUGCCCAGUACGAGAGGAACAGCGGGGCGUUGCCUCUGGCGUACCGGUCGUCCGAGAGGGCGUCGCCGGGCAGCUAAGCAAUUGUGGAUAACCGCUGAAAGCAUCUAAGCGGGAAGCCACUCCCGAGAAGAGUGAGCCUUGGACCCAAGCUACCUCCGCAAGGGGGUGGGGCGGGUCCAGAAGGGCGGCCAUAGAAGAUGGCGUUGAAAUGGUGGGGGUGUACGCUGGAAGCUUCGGCGACCAGUUCAGCCCGUCCACUAAUUACAGCCCAACGCUUGGAUGAG
Molecule: ribosomal RNA, 1194 nt
Filed under: Nitrososphaerota archaeon
Lineage: Archaea; Thermoproteati; Nitrososphaerota
Description: partial 23S ribosomal RNA
Rfam family: Archaeal large subunit ribosomal RNA (bases 684-1180)
Source: RNAcentral